AACGAACGCUGGCGGCAUGCCUAACACAUGCAAGUCGAACGGGACCUUCGGGUCUAGUGGCGCACGGGUGCGUAACGCGUGGGAACCUGCCCUUAGGUUCGGAAUAACUCCCCGAAAGGGGUGCUAAUACCGGAUAAUGUCUUCGGACCAAAGAUUUAUCGCCUUUGGAUGGGCCCGCGUUGGGUUAGCUAGUUGGUAGGGUAAAAGCCUAUCAAGGCGACGAUCCAUAGCUGGUUUGAGAGGAUGAUCAGCCACACUGGGACUGAGACACGGCCCAGACUCCUACGGGAGGCAGCAGUGGGGAAUAUUGGACAAUGGGCGAAAGCCUGAUCCAGCAAUGCCGCGUGAGUGAUGAAGGCCUUAGGGUUGUAAAGCUCUUUUACCCGGGAUGAUAAUGACAGUACCGGGAGAAUAAGCUCCGGCUAACUCCGUG
This 433-nucleotide ribosomal RNA is filed under the name uncultured bacterium. RNAcentral describes it as "partial 16S ribosomal RNA". It matches the Rfam family "Bacterial small subunit ribosomal RNA", at positions 29 to 507 of the family's 1533-position model. The record is from RNAcentral.